AAUUAAACAACUUUACAUAAAGACUUUAAAAAAUUAUAAUCAUGUAAAUGUACACUUACCUUCUCCAUGUAAAAUUUUGUGGAUGUUAACUAUCAAUUUAAUUGUGAAAAUAUUUCGUUUUUAUUAGCCUAAAAAGCUUUUAUCAUUGACGACAAAACUACAUACCCAACAAUUUUUAAAAGAAUAAAUUAAUAUAAAGAUAUUUAUUUAUAUUUAAAGUUUCAGGAGGAUUAAAGUCAUAUAUUUAAUCUUCGUUAACUUGAAAUAGAUAAUGUGAAUUUACCAGUCACUUCAAAAAAAUUGAAAUUUUAGAUUUUCAACAAGUAUGUGUUAUGUAUUACAAUUUUAGUGGCUUAAUUACAGGAAUAUAAUAAAAGAUUUGGUUGAAAACACUUAGAAUGAAUCUAAUGGACUUGAAAUUGGACAACAACCUGCUAUUUUCUAAAGUGGUAAGACUUAUGUGGUAACCAAAAUAAAUUAAUUUUACUUGAUACAUAAAAUUAAUUUUAUUUAAAAUUAGUUCAAUGGAAUAAAUUAAUCACUUAGAGCAAUAUUAUAAUACUUUAGAGAAGAAAUUUUAUAUAACUCUUGUAGGCAAAUUACUGUUUUAAUUAGUAAUUUAAUAAAUAAAAAAAUAAUUUAAUAAUUUAAAUAAUAAAUAACUCUCUUGAUGUAAUCAAACAAUUCUAGGGGGUGGCACUAGAAUUUUAAAAGUUUAUAAUUAACGGCCACUCUAACUGACACUAAAUAGUAUCUCCGAAAUCUACUAUGGUAACGUUGUCAUUUUUAGUAGCUAAUAAAUAUCACAAAUAUUUUACUGUUUAAGAUAUUUUAUUUAUUUUUUGCAGAUUAUUAUUUAAAAGUAACAAAAAUUCAUAAGUAGGCAGUUAGGAGAUACCAAUUCAAUGCUUAUAAAAGAGUACUGAACAGAACAAUAAAUGACUGACUGAAGAGACUUCCAUUCUACUAGAGUAAUGCUGUCAAUUUUAAUAGCUAAUAAAUAUUAAAAAUAUUUUACAA
Molecule: long non-coding RNA, 1020 nt
Organism: Daktulosphaira vitifoliae (grape phylloxera)
Lineage: Eukaryota; Metazoa; Arthropoda; Insecta; Hemiptera; Phylloxeridae
Exons: 2
Source: RefSeq, a predicted model, not a curated record